UUGGAUUCACGCCUCUCACGU
This 21-nucleotide unclassified non-coding RNA is filed under the name Mus musculus (house mouse). Its description in RNAcentral is "oocyte_clustered_small_RNA9261". The record is from RNAcentral. Lineage: Eukaryota; Metazoa; Chordata; Mammalia; Rodentia; Muridae.